UACGAGUACCCCAAGCGUUAUCCGGAAUCAUUGGGCGUAAAGGGUGUGUAGGCGGCCUAAUUAGUCUCCUGUUAAAACUUCAGGCUCAACCUGAAGAUUGCAGGGGAAACGGUUAGGCUAGAGAGUGCGAGAGGUGAAUGGAACUCAUGGAGUAGGGGUGAAAUCCGUUGAUAUCAUGGGGAACACCGAAAGCGAAGGCAAUUCACUGGCGCAUUUCUGACGCUGAAACACGAAAGCGUGGGUAGCGAACGGG
This 253-nucleotide ribosomal RNA is filed under the name uncultured bacterium. Its description in RNAcentral is "partial 16S ribosomal RNA". It matches the Rfam family "Bacterial small subunit ribosomal RNA", at positions 524 to 776 of the family's 1533-position model. The record is from RNAcentral.